GCGCUGCGAGCCAUAUUUUAGCUAAAGGGCCGCGUUUGGACGUGAAGAGCUGCGUGUAGAACAUCAUGCUGGAGAGCUAGCGACCACCUGUGACGAGCACAGCAGUGGCGGCGUAAACAUCUGCCCCACGCCAGCCCAGAUAACUAUAUUUUGUCCCUGUGAUGAACUGGAACCCUGAUGUAGAUGUAUCCUUACUCUCACCCACUGACAGCUGGAUCUGGAAAAAAGACCACACAAGGGGCCAGACGUACUUCCCUUCGUCUCUAGAGGAUCAUAGACAUGUCAAACCAGCCAAAAGUAAAGAGGAAGAGGACCAGAAUUAAAGCGUGACUUGUCCUUGGUAAAACUCAUGGAGACCAGGUGGAGCCUUCCAGCCGCCGCGACGCAGACAGAGACCAACAGGCUGACGGACAGACGCAGAUCUAGACCGGAACUCAGACCACAGCUGAGAUGACUGUGCUGGUUUGGCCGGAGUGGCAGCUUCUCGAGUCCCUUCCUUCACACGUGCACUCUAACGCAGCCUGGAGCCCGAGCUAACAGCAAACCUCCAGUCCCACCUGUUUUACCUGGAAACACCCUGCCGCGCUACACAUUCUCUGUGAGCUCUCAUUGUAUCCCGUGGAACGCGUGGCGGGGUCCCGACCUUUCUGCCCCCGUGGAACAAGUGCAGCUUUAUUCUGAGGGGCGGCAGCGACUCCACCCAGGCUUUUUCCUUGAGUGGCAUCUCACAGUUGCGGCUGUUCCGGCUCUCGCCGGCCCGGCCGUCGUGACGCCUACGUCAGGCUGGAGUUGUCGGGGAGCCUUUCCACAUUUCCACAUUAGCGCCGCGUGCUUAUGAAAACAGAGCCCUCUCAUAGGAGCCUGUGCAACAAGCGGGGGACAUUUGUGUUUAUGCCCUUUGUCCGGUGUCUGUUCGGCUUUAACGCCAAUGAUACAAAUUCCAAACUGGCCUGUAAAUCUCUUCGCGUGUGCCUCCAAGUCUGACUGGUGUGUGUGGCUUCUAAAGUAAAUGUGCACAGCAAUUGAUAUGACAUUCACAGAAGAACAAAAUGGACAAAUAAUCUUUUUAUGCUAAAUCAAAACCAAAUCAAUUUCAUGAGCCUGACUAAAGCUUUUACUAUUUAAUUCCCAUGACUUUCUAAUGCUACAUCUCCAUUUAGGGUAAGAGUUCAUUGGAUUUAAUCCCACUAGGAGCUUCCAUUGUUGUCAUGAAUGACUGACGGUUAAGUUAACCUGUUUUGUGGUAUUGUUUGUUUAAAGGGGGCUGUAGUUGAUCCAGGGUUCACAGCCAUGUUCAAGAACAAACAAUAACACGGAACAGGUUAACUUAAUCAUCAGUCAUUGUGUGGACCAUGUUUCUGUUGCUGGUGCCGUCACAAUUUUUUUCUAGGAUUUUUUCUUUGAUCGUUCUCAUUCAUUCGAAUCUCAUAUGAGACAUAUCUGCAUUAUUUAUUUUUCUAUUUAAACAUGAAUAUUUUCGGAGGCAUCACCACCUCACUGAAGCCAAUGAAUAGAACCAACGUUGUCCUGAACAAAUACACCUUUAGAUGCCACAUGUCACACAUCAGCCAAGAAUGUGAAGUUCAGUGUGUUUGUUGUGUCCAGACUCGUGGCAGUGUGUACACAUCUGGACACAGCUUACACACACACACACACACCAUACAAAUGAAUCAAGACUAAAGAGAACUGUUUGAGUCCACACAGGUCCAUCCCACUUUUAAACCUUUUAACCUCUUUUUAAACUUAUUGUCCACAUUCUUUAUUCUUUGCUUGUUUUUUUCACAAUUGAACCUUUAUUCUUACAUAUAUUGUAUUCUUGCUACAAUAUGCCUGUUUAUUCCCAAACUAUUUAAUCUUUAAAUGUAUAGAGUUAAGUUUCCUUUACUCUGACCUUAGUUAAUACCAGGAUGAUUAAUUACUUCUACUGUGUAUUUAUACACAGAUUGCUUUGGAUUCAGGAAAAUAUGUUUGUUCACAUGUUAUUUUUACUGCAAGAAUAGAACGUGUCAGCAUUUUUGUUUGUUCAGCGCGUUUGAUAUGACACAAGUGCAUGUUGGGGCAGAACACCGCCCCCUUGUGCUGACGGAUGGUGUAGAUGCGAAGGCAAACUACACAGUACAGUAUUAAAACCAACACCACGGUUUCAAUCCCCUUUCUGCCAAAUGUAUUUAUUCUUAUCUCAUAGGAAAAUGCCCAAGUUAUUACUGAUCAUUGCGUUAUGUUUAUGUUUAAUGUAUCUUUUUAUAGUAUGGACUUAAAUAAGAUGAAAACUGAAGAUGAUUUUAUGAUUCACUCUGAAACAAUUGAUGAAAGGAAAUCCUUAAACAUUAAAACAAAAGGCAGCUGCUCAGUGUAAACCUCAAAUGUACACUAUUAAUAUCUGAGGCUCUUUGAUGUUUUCCCCUGUGAAAACUACUAAUUC
Betta splendens (Siamese fighting fish) is the source of this 2422-nucleotide long non-coding RNA. RefSeq lists it as uncharacterized. The transcript has 6 exons. Lineage: Eukaryota; Metazoa; Chordata; Actinopteri; Anabantiformes; Osphronemidae. The record is from RefSeq and is a predicted model, not a curated record.